UACGGAGGGGGCUAGCGUUGUUCGGAAUUACUGGGCGUAAAGCGCGCGUAGGCGGACCUGCAAGUCGGGGGUGAAAGCCCGAGGCUCAACCUCGGAACUGCCUUCGAUACUGCGGGUCUCGAGUCCGGGAGAGGGAUGUGGAAUUCCAGGUGUAGCGGUGAAAUGCGUAGAUAUCUGGAGGAACACCGGUGGCGAAGGCGGCAUCCUGGACCGGUAUUGACGCUGAGGCGCGAAAGCUAGGGGAGCAAACGGG
Molecule: ribosomal RNA, 253 nt
Filed under: uncultured bacterium
Lineage: Bacteria
Description: partial 16S ribosomal RNA
Rfam family: Bacterial small subunit ribosomal RNA
Source: RNAcentral